AGCUCAAAUAACUCCUCCUUCAAUUGCCAAUUUGCCUCCCGAUAAUCUUUUGUAUCAAUGCUGGAUCUUGAAGAUAUUUUACCCGUUCCUAUCUAACCAAUGGGGCCCCGUUUUAGAUCCUGUUCUUGUGUUUUGAUCAUUCUGCUUUGUGUGAGCUUUUCUGGGAUUGUUUCCGUUUGUGGAGAGAGUAGAGGACCCAAAAACGUGCAGGUUGCUGUUCGUGCUAAGUGGGAGGUACUUCUGUUCUAUUGGAAGCUGGUGAAUUACCAUCAAAGGAAUGGAAAGACCUUUAUUGGGAGUUCAUUGAGGUCUGGCUCCGGUCAGAGGAGGAUGAAUCUGACUCUCAUACAGCAAGAGAUUGCCUCAAAAGAAUCAUUAAACAUGGAAGGUCACUUUUAAGUGAUCCAUUGGCCUCACUAUUUGAGUUCUUUCUUAUUCUGAGAUCAGCAUCCCCAAGAUUGGUGCUUUACCGACAAUUAGCAGAGGAGUCUCUUUCUUCUUUCCCACUUUCUGAUGAUAGUAUUUCAAACAAUGGUAGUGGAGGAAUUGCAGAAAUAACUGAGAAAAAUGAAAGUAAAAGGUCAGAUCCUUUGCUUGUUGGUGUAAAUCCUAAGAGCCCUGGUGGAAAAUGUUGCUGGGUGGAUACUGGUGGAGCAUUGUUCUUUGAUGUUGCAGAGUUGCUAUUGUGGCUUCACAACCCUCCUAAACUAUAAGAGACUCAUUUCAGCAGCCAGAACUAUUUGAUUUUGAUCACAUCCAUUUUGAUUCUCAUACUAGAAGCCCAGUUGCUACACUGUAUGGAGCUCUGAUUGUUUUAGAAAAUUUCAUGUCACACUGGUUGAAGCUGCCAGACAGGGGAUGGUAAAAUAUGUAGUUAGACCUGCUUUACCCUCUGGCUGUGAAGAAAAAGCUGGCAAUUGUGGUGCUAUUGCUGCCAAAGGCUCCUUAAAUUUGGGCGGUUAUGGUGUUGAACUUGCAUUUAAGAAUAUGGAAUAUAAGGCUAUGGAUGACAGCUCAAUUAAGAAAGGUGUCACUUUGGAAGAUCCACGGACUGAAGAUCUUAGCCAAGAAGUUAGAGGGUUCAUUUUUUCCAAAAUACUGGAACGUAAACCUGAGCUUACCUCUGAGAUAAUGGCUUACUGAGACUAUUUACUUUCGUCAACGAUAUCUGAUACGCUUGAUGUUUGGCAACUAAAAGGAAAUCAAUCAGAAUUUUCCUAGUGUAGUUUCUUCUUUGUCUCGCAUGAAGCUCAGUGAUUCGGUUAAAGAUGAAAUAACAGCAAACCAGUGAAUGAUUCCUCCUGGAAAGUCCUUAAUGGCUCUGAAUGGUGCUUUAAUCAAUAUUGAGGAUAUUGACCUUUAUCUGUUGGUAGACAUAGUCCAGCAGGAGCUGUUAUUGGCCAAUCAGUUUUCAAAACUGAAGGUUCCUCAUAGUGCAAUUAGGAAACUUUUGUCAACGGUAUCUCCUCUUGAGUCAGAUAUGUUCCCUGUUGAUUUUCGAUCAAUUCAUGUUCACUAUCUCAAUAACUUGGAGGAGGAUGCUAUGUAUAAGCAAUGGUGGAGCAAUAUAAAUGAGAUUUUGAUGCCUGUCUUCCCUGGGCAACUACGCUACAUCCGCAAGAACUUGUUCCAUGCAGUUUAUGUUGUUGAUCUAGCCACCAGUUAUGGUCUUGAGGCAAGUGAUUUUCUUUCACUCCCUUCCCCCUUCCAUUCCCUGCCAUCAAUAACUACCACUCGACCAUGUUAAUUCUGUCAAAAUUUUUAUAAUUUUUGUUCUUGUAAGCCUGCAGUCCAUCAAAAGGAUUAUAUCCUUGUAUGAGAACAACUUUCCAAUGCGAUUUGGGUUAAUUCUGUACUCUUUGAAUUUCAUCAAGAAAAUUGAAGUGGGUGGUGGUGAUCUCCAUGCACGACUGCCACAGUCAUCAAGCUUAUAUCAUUAUCGCAAUCUAAAUGCUUGGCCAUCACAAUUGCUUAGAUUUUCCACAGAUGUCUAGAACUCUAUUUGACACCACUAUCAUCACAAUUGUGAUCCCAAGAUCAUUCGUUUGCCCAUAACUCAAUGUCACUUGACAAGUGUUUCAUCAUCUCUAUGUAUUCUCACUUCAUAGGUAUUCAAGGUGGCCUCAAGCUCUAUUGGCACACCCAAUUCAUCGUGGAGUCAUUACCCUCUCCUCAAAAGAUUAUAUGUAAUGAGGCGUGCAGCCCUCCCACACGUGGUAUCAGCACUUUUAUCAUAAUGUGGCUCUCAUCACCACCAUCUCAUAUUUUAAGAUUGUUUUGGCAAACUUUUUCUCAUAUAAGCUACCACAUCCGCAUUAUGACCUAGUUACCAGUACUAGGCAUCCGAAACUUUGAGUUUUAUAUGAAUAUUCGGGCUACCGUUUGCCAACGCAACUUUAUAGUGCUUACACGCACAAUUGGGCGUCUGCCCUUUCUCAUGUUACCACAAGCCAACUCGUUACCUCCGAAAUUGGACCUUGGGUUUUAUACCCUCUCUAGGCUUAUCGUAAGCCAAUUCAAUUUUCUACGCAACAUGAUUUGGGAUCCACCUGUCCUUUUUUCGAAUUCAUCUCAUAGCUGAUUUUAACUUCAGCAGCUCUUAGCAUCUAUCGCCUCGUAAUUAAAUGGGAUUCAAUGGAAUCCACGCAUAAUCCGAACUUGUCAUCAAUGGCACGCAACGACUGUCUCGUCUCAAGUUGCACUCUAGCAACAGUUUCACUUUCUAUGUUAUCCAUAGAAUAACAACAUUCUUAUUUCAAGGGACUCAAUACAUUUCUCAUCCUUCAUUUGAAGGUUCUAGCAGCCAACAGCAAUGGUUACUCUCCAGGGGAGAAAACAACCAUCUCAAUAUCGAUUAAAGGUAUUUCAACCCAUCAUUCCGAAGGUUCACAUAACCAUUAAGCUAUCUCGAAUUUCCCAUCUCUUUACCCAACUAGGGUAAGACACCAUCUCAGUGAGAUAAGCCAUCGGUUUCUUAAUCUCUUAGGGAUAGCACCCCCAUAUCUCGAAAGACUUCCACAGUCUAUUAACAAUUCGCAUUCGUCUUAUCAAUCCUUGGGGCUUACUCGUCCCCACACAUCUCGAAGACUUUCUCAGUCUUUUAAGCAAUCCCGAGUAUUGUAUCUCAUCACCCGACAAGGGUCAUUCACCAUCUUAAUGGCUUUAGGGCUACCAUUUGCCCAAUAUUUUCUAAUGUUUUCUGAAUAUCGAUUGUCUCAUUUUUGUCCGACCAAAGUCUUAAAUGAUGUUACUUGCUUGGCAAAUGUCAUUUGCCCAUUUCGCACCCCGUUUUGCCCACGUUAGCAUCCUUUGUAUUAAUGAUCCCCAAUUGGUGUACCGCACUCACAUACCACCUCUUAAGGACUCAAUAACAUCAAGAAUACUCAUUUGCCCAACAUAUCACUUAUACGUUGUGCAUGCCACAAUAUGUUUCUAAUAAGGACAUCAUGCCCUUCCCCCAUUUCGGGGUUGUAUACUCCACUCACCCUUUCUCAAGGUGAACACACAGUUAGCUUUCAUCGCUUUUCAUCGUUUCUCAUUAUUUUUGUAUCUCGUGUGCAUCACACAAUCGAAGGUUUCUCAAGGGAGGUAUGGAUUAUUAUCCAUCACGAGCACUGACCUUGCUUUGAUACCAACUGUCACGGGGCCACUUCCUAGCUCGGACAGUAGUCCCAUGCGGCGCCUAAACUUCCACUCAAUCUAGGCCAGCCUACUCGUAUUCAAGGGUCUUUCCCCUUGUAGAGGAUCUCAAAUAUUCUUAUCGAGGGUUUUUCACGUAUCUAGCCCAAUAAUUGAGCAUUGAUAUUCCUUGUAGCACGAUGUCGCCCUUCAUCGUGUACAUCCCCAAGCAUCGUCUGAAAGCAAGGCAAUAAGCAACAUUCGACUGUAUGGCUGAACCCAAAGCCAAUCUAUAAUAUUUGUUCCCCUAUACCGAGUAGCAUCAUUGGCCCUUAUACCGAGCAGCAUCGUCGGCCUUAUAUGGAAAUCUCAGGCCUAGGAGAGACACGCACUACAAGCUCCUCGGCCUUGUACUGUCCAUGAAGCUCCUUCUUCAUGGAGACACCGAGCUCCUAUCUCUCGAGAGCACGAUGCCCGCCGCCUAGUACAAUGAGUACGUAGGGAGCUCACUUAGAGUCACACCUUUACGCCAGUGACCCCGGGGAUGGUGGAGAGCUUGACACCAACUUCGGCAACUAGCUGGGCCCGUCUGUGCUCACCAGUGGCCAACUAGUCACACCCCCCUAAAGAGCAUUAGGAACAUAGUGACCUUUGGCAGGAGGAGACAUCAGUAUGUCUCAGUGGUCACACCCCCCUGCACUUCUCCAUAUUUAUAAAUGUGUCCGCCAAACUUCUCAUUCUUCUCAAUUGUGCCCUUACACCAUUUCAUAGGCCUACGGCUUGGCUAGGUUUGGCCAAUCCUCACGGGGUAACGGGCUGUCCCUCUUACACUAGGGGCCCUGGCCAAGGGGGACCUAGGCUCCGUACGGGGCUAGAACUCCCGUCCCGUGACAAAGUGGUAUCAGAGCAGUAUGUAAUAGCUGGUAGUUCCCCACUUCUGUUCUUGGCAGUUGACAAGGUCGUCACAAACUAACUCUUGCCCUAUGGAGCUAACCGUUCUGAAUUUGUACAGGUACGUGUGAGAAACCUCGAAGAUGCUUAUUAUUUGGGCCUCAGCGAGCUUGCCAGAUAGGGGGAAGGCUGGCCUAGGGGCCCUGGCCAAAGGGGACCUAGGCGCUGCACGGGGCUAGAACUCACGUCCCGUGACAAUGUGGUAUCAGAGCAGGCCCCAGAUGAUCCGAAUAACGCCAAGCGCCCCAACGAGACUGGGGUAGGCAAGGUACCGAUAACGAUAAGGGUGUUGCUGGAAUCGGGUGGAGGAGAGUGUCAGGCCUCAAUGGGACAUAGGUAUACAAGGGCUUCUCAAUCCCACAUCGGACAAGAAAGGGGUCGAUCCAAGGGAUAAGUGUGGCCUGUCAUGCAGCUUGUAUGUGUCUGGCGAGUAAUAUGAUGAAUCUUGGCAAGGCAUUUUGGAGGAUGUCUGGGUGCGGAAGCAGGCGAGUGCAUUGGUAAACUGGUGGCCAACAUGUUGCUUAAGUGUUUGCAUUGGGUUAGCGCAACAAAUGGUGUGUGGGCUCCUACGUGCGAGGGAGUGUGACAAGUUGCGUAGGGAAGCGACAUGAACGCACGCAAACGAGAGCGUUUGCGGGAUUGGGUAGGGGAGAAUGUAACGGUUCGGCAGUUCCCCACUCCUAUUCUUGGCAGUUGGCAAGGCCGUCAUAGGAUAUCUCUUGUUCUAUGGAGCUAACCAGUGUGAAUCUGAACAGGUACAUGCAAGAAACCUCGAAGAUGCUUAAUAUUUGGGCUCAGUAAGCUUGCCAGAUAGGGGGAAGGCUGGCCUAGGGGCCCUGGCCAAGGGGGACCUAGGCGCCGUACAGGGCUAGAACUCCCGUUUCGUGACAAAGUGGUAUCAGAUCAGGCCCUAAAUGAUCCGAAUCACGCUAAGCGCCCCAAUGAGACGGGAUUAGGCAGGGUGCCGAUAGCCUACGGCACCUGAACCAAGAUCGGGUCACGUGUCCCAGUAUCCAACACGUUGACAUGAGGAAACGACCGACACUACUGGAAACGCUGGUCAAGCUCAAAUUAUUGGAAAUAGGAAACGCGUUUCUUUAAAGAAAAUUAAAAAAAAAAAGGAAAAUGGGUAGGUUAAAGUCGAUCACUUCACAAUAUUCACCAUCAAGAUCAACAGAAAAGGAAGAAGAAGAAAAAGAAAAAGAAAGGGAAUAUCAGACCUUCAACGGCAGUAUCGCAGUUCGCAGAAGAAGAAGAAGAAGAAGAAGAAGAAGCAGAAGGGAGGAACGACGACAAGUACAUCACAGGACAAUAUUUGAAUGGAUUAUUCAAACUCUAAUUCUACUCAAGCAAAUAGCACUAGUGCCAAUUCUUCAAAAACUAGGGAGGAAGAAUUUAAUCAUUUGUGGAGAUAUGUAACUAAACUUGAGAAAACUGUAGAAUGAGGGGGUAAUUGUAAAUGUAUAUGCAAUUUUUGUGGACAAGAAAAGCAAGGGACUUAUACUAAAGUGAAGGCUCAUUUAUUGAAAAUCACUGGAAAAGGGAUUGGUGUGUGUAAAAAAGUGAUAAAUGAUAGUAUUUCUGAAAUGAGAAAACAGGAGGAUGAGGCAACAAACAGAAUUACUAAUUCACAAUCUAGGCGAGUUUCUUUGCCCAUUAGUAUAACUUCUGUUCCUUCAUUGAAUAUAACUGAACCAAGUAUUUCAACAGCUUUGAAGAAAGAAGAGUUAAUGAUUCUCCUCUUGGUAGAGCUUUUGACUUGCAAACUAUAGCUCAAUUAGAUGCAGAGAUUGCUAGAAUGUUCUACACUAGGGGUCUACCUUUUAAUUUUGCUAGAAAUCCUUAUUAUGUGAGUUCUUAUUCUUUUGCUGCUAAUCAUGCUUUGGGUGGUUAUGUGCCGCCUGGUUAUAACAAAUUGAGAACCACAUUACUUUAGCAAGAAAAAGCAAAUGUAGAGAGGUUGCUUGAACUAAUUAAAAGCACUUGGUUCGAAAAGGGUGUUAGUAUUGUGAGUGAUGGAUGGAGUCAUCCCCAGAGGAGGCCUUUGAUUAAUUUUAUGGUUGUUUCUGAGUCUGGCCCCAUGUUUAUCAAAUCUGUAGAUUGUUCUGGUGAAGUGAAAGAUAAGCAAUUUAUUGCUAGUUUGCUAAAAGAAGUAAUUGAUGAGGUGGGUCAUCAAAAAAUGGUACAAGUCAUUACUGAUAAUACUUGAAAUUGUAAAGGUGCUGGAGAAAUCAUUGAGGGAAUGUUUCCACAUAUUUAUUGGACUCCUUGUGUUAUGCACACUCUUAAUCUUGCUUUGAAGAAUAUAUGUGCAGCAAAAAAUUUGAAAACUAAUCAAGAAACUUAUGAUGUGUGUCACUGGAUCACUGAAAUCCACGGGGAUGCUUUGCAAAUCAAGAAUUUUAUAAUGAAUUAUUCCAUGAGGCUUGCAAUUUAUAAUCGGUUUAGCCCUUUGAAAUUGCUUUCAGUUGCUGAUAC
Long non-coding RNA from Hevea brasiliensis (rubber tree), 7047 nucleotides. RefSeq lists it as uncharacterized. The record is from RefSeq and is a predicted model, not a curated record. The transcript has 13 exons. NCBI's taxonomy places the organism in Eukaryota, Viridiplantae, Streptophyta, Magnoliopsida, Malpighiales, Euphorbiaceae.